Non-coding RNA from Phrynosoma platyrhinos (Desert horned lizard), 71 nucleotides. NCBI's taxonomy places the organism in Eukaryota, Metazoa, Chordata, Lepidosauria, Squamata, Phrynosomatidae. The record is from the annotation of a GenBank genome assembly.
GCCAGUGUGGCAUAGUGGCUUGAGCAUUGGACUAUGAAUCUGGAACAAGGGUUCAAAAACCAGCUUUGACU